Long non-coding RNA from Stomoxys calcitrans (stable fly), 813 nucleotides. RefSeq lists it as uncharacterized. NCBI's taxonomy places the organism in Eukaryota, Metazoa, Arthropoda, Insecta, Diptera, Muscidae. The record is from RefSeq and is a predicted model, not a curated record. The transcript has 3 exons.
CUGUGUUCGGGAACUCAAAAAUUUGUGCAAAUUUUUUCUGGAAGUCGUUCGCGUACUUUAUUUGCCAGCAGAAGAGACCGCGAGAGAGAGUAAAUUUUGACAGUUAGAAAAUAGAGAACCUGCAAAUUUCUACAUGCAUUUUUUUGCGAGCAGAAAUUUGCAACUUUGAACAGAUGUUUUCUAAAAAUCAGCUGUUUUAUAAAAAGGAGCCUUUAUAUGAAAAUACAAAAGCUAACGCCAAAAUGGAUCAAAAAAGCAGAGAUUCAUGGCAGCAGCUAGUGUUCAGGUACAGCAAACUCGACAAAUGAAGUUGUAAUUUUACCUCAAGUCGGUUGUUCUACAUUAGAAGACUCCAAGAAAAGAGCAAUUAUAGGUUUCUUAAGUGUUUUGAUGGAAUCAUCCUCAUCGGAGAGCUACGAUGAAACCAACACCGUUCCUUCGAAUUCUUUAAGGAUGAAAGAUGCUGCCAUGGGAUUGAGUGCGUCUAGCUAGGCAGUUAAAAAAGUGACGCACAGUGGGAUUAAACAAAAUUAGUGCAAAUAAGUCUGCCAAUUGUGAAUGGAUACAGAAAUCUUCAAUGAUAACACAGUGUCCUUAGCCAUCACAUGACCAAAUAGAAAACUCCCUUAGCCUCACAUCAGUGGUCGUAGCAAUUAAUCUAGCCACAAUAUCCAAAAGCAUAAGAUGGUUAGUCCAAGGUAUCUUUGUCAGCACAAUAAGUGUACUUUUGUAUACGGCGAUGUCAUGUAAAGCAGUUGUAGUCACAUGCAGCAUUCGAAAUGCAUGCUGAUGAUCGGAAAAUUGUCCAACGAG